CAGCAGCCGCGGUAAUACGUAGGGUGCGAGCGUUAAUCGGAAUUACUGGGCGUAAAGCGUGCGCAGGCGGUUUUGUAAGACAGGCGUGAAAUCCCCGGGCUCAACCUGGGAAUGGCGCUUGUGACUGCAAAGCUAGAGUGCGGCAGAGGGGGAUGGAAUUCCGCGUGUAGCAGUGAAAUGCGUAGAUAUGCGGAGGAACACCGAUGGCGAAGGCAAUCCCCCGGGCCUGCACUGACGCUCAUGCACGAAAGCGUGGGGAGCAAACAGGAUUAGAUACCCCGGUAGUCCCUGUCUCUUAUAC
Molecule: ribosomal RNA, 301 nt
Filed under: uncultured bacterium
Lineage: Bacteria
Description: partial 16S ribosomal RNA
Rfam family: Bacterial small subunit ribosomal RNA
Source: RNAcentral